This 1922-nucleotide ribosomal RNA is filed under the name Salmonella enterica subsp. enterica serovar Newport. RNAcentral's name for it is "partial 23S ribosomal RNA". It matches the Rfam family "Bacterial large subunit ribosomal RNA", at positions 331 to 2158 of the family's 2925-position model. Lineage: Bacteria; Pseudomonadati; Pseudomonadota; Gammaproteobacteria; Enterobacterales; Enterobacteriaceae. The record is from RNAcentral.
AGUGGAAGCGUCUGGAAAGGCGCGCGAUACAGGGUGACAGCCCCGUACACAAAAGCGCAUGUGUUGUGAGCUCGAUGAGUAGGGCGGGACACGUGGUAUCCUGUCUGAAUAUGGGGGGACCAUCCUCCAAGGCUAAAUACUCCUGACUGACCGAUAGUGAACCAGUACCGUGAGGGAAAGGCGAAAAGAACCCCGGCGAGGGGAGUGAAAAAGAACCUGAAACCGUGUACGUACAAGCAGUGGGAGCACCCUUUGGGGUGUGACUGCGUACCUUUUGUAUAAUGGGUCAGCGACUUAUAUUCUGUAGCAAGGUUAACCGAAUAGGGGAGCCGGAGGGAAACCGAGUCUUAAUUGGGCGUUAAGUUGCAGGGUAUAGACCCGAAACCCGGUGAUCUAGCCAUGGGCAGGUUGAAGGUUGGGUAACACUAACUGGAGGACCGAACCGACUAAUGUUGAAAAAUUAGCGGAUGACCUGUGGCUGGGGGUGAAAGGCCAAUCAAACCGGGAGAUAGCUGGUUCUCCCCGAAAGCUAUUUAGGUAGCGCCUCGUGAAUUCAUCUCCGGGGGUAGAGCACUGUUUCGGCUAGGGGGCCAUCCCGGCUUACCAACCCGAUGCAAACUGCGAAUACCGGAGAAUGUUAUCACGGGAGACACACGGCGGGUGCUAACGUCCGUCGUGAAGAGGGAAACAACCCAGACCGCCAGCUAAGGUCCCAAAGUCAUGGUUAAGUGGGAAACGAUGUGGGAAGGCCCAGACAGCCAGGAUGUUGGCUUAGAAGCAGCCAUCAUUUAAAGAAAGCGUAAUAGCUCACUGGUCGAGUCGGCCUGCGCGGAAGAUGUAACGGGGCUAAACCAUGCACCGAAGCUGCGGCAGCGAACGUAUCACUUAAAGCGAUUCAGCGGGUUACGAUUGACGGAGCGAAGCGACGUCAAAGCGUAUACAAAGUCGAGUCGGUUUAAGGAUACGUUCGUUGGGUAGGGGAGCGUUCUGUAAGCCUGUGAAGGUGUGUCGUGAGGCAUGCUGGAGGUAUCAGAAGUGCGAAUGCUGACAUAAGUAACGAUAAAGCGGGUGAAAAGCCCGCUCGCCGGAAGACCAAGGGUUCCUGUCCAACGUUAAUCGGGGCAGGGUGAGUCGACCCCUAAGGCGAGGCCGAAAGGCGUAGUCGAUGGGAAACGGGUUAAUAUUCCCGUACUUGGUGUUACUGCGAAGGGGGGACGGAGAAGGCUAUGUUGGCCGGGCGACGGUUGUCCCGGUUUAAGCGUGUAGGUGUGUGUUCCAGGUAAAUCCGGUUCACUUUAACACUGAGGCGUGACGACGAGGCACUACGGUGCUGAAGCAACAAAUGCCCUGCUUCCAGGAAAAGCCUCUAAGCAUCAGGUAACAUCAAAUCGUACCCCAAACCGACACAGGUGGUCAGGUAGAGAAUACCAAGGCGCUUGAGAGAACUCGGGUGAAGGAACUAGGCAAAAUGGUGCCGUAACUUCGGGAGAAGGCACGCUGACACGUAGGUGAAGUGAUUUACUCAUGGAGCUGAAGUCAGUCGAAGAUACCAGCUGGCUGCAACUGUUUAUUAAAAACACAGCACUGUGCAAACACGAAAGUGGACGUAUACGGUGUGACGCCUGCCCGGUGCCGGAAGGUUAAUUGAUGGGGUCAGCGCAAGCGAAGCUCCUGAUCGAAGCCCCGGUAAACGGCGGCCGUAACUAUAACGGUCCUAAGGUAGCGAAAUUCCUUGUCGGGUAAGUUCCGACCUGCACGAAUGGCGUAAUGAUGGCCAGGCUGUCUCCACCCGAGACUCAGUGAAAUUGAACUCGCUGUGAAGAUGCAGUGUACCCGCGGCAAGACGGAAAGACCCCGUGAACCUUUACUAUAGCUUGACACUGAACAUUGAGCCUUGAUGUGUAGGAUAGGUGGGAGGCUUU